This 465-nucleotide ribosomal RNA is filed under the name uncultured bacterium. RNAcentral's name for it is "partial 16S ribosomal RNA". It matches the Rfam family "Bacterial small subunit ribosomal RNA", at positions 28 to 507 of the family's 1533-position model. The record is from RNAcentral.
GAUGAACGCUGGCGGCGUGCUUAACACAUGCAAGUCGAACGGAAAGGCUCCUGCUUGCCGGGGUACUCGAGUGGCGAACGGGUGAGUAACACGUGGGUGAUCUGCCCUGCACUUCGGGAUAAGCCUGGGAAACUGGGUCUAAUACCGGAUAGGACCACAUUUUGGAUGGUGUGGUGGAAAGUUUUUCGGUGUGGGAUGAGCUCGCGGCCUAUCAGCUUGUUGGUGGGGUAAUGGCCUACCAAGGCGUCGACGGGUAGCCGGCCUGAGAGGGUGUACGGCCACAUUGGGACUGAGAUACGGCCCAGACUCCUACGGGAGGCAGAAGUGGGGAAUAUUGCACAAUGGGCGCAAGCCUGAUGCAGCGACGCCGCGUGGGGGAUGACGGCCUUCGGGUUGUAAACUCCUUUCGCUAGGGACGAAGCGCAAGUGACGGUACCUGGAGAAGAAGCACCGGCUAACUACGUG